RNAcentral lists this ribosomal RNA (690 nucleotides) under Schileykula neuberti. RNAcentral describes it as "partial 12S ribosomal RNA". Lineage: Eukaryota; Metazoa; Mollusca; Gastropoda; Stylommatophora; Orculidae. The record is from RNAcentral.
GCACUUAAAUAUUUGUAUUCAAUAAAUUAUUAACAUUUAUUGUUUUACUUACAAGUCCAUCUUCAGGUGCAUGUAAGUGCUUUAUCCUUCCGAAAUAUACUAUUAUUGUAACUCGCUUAAUUCUUUACUAUUGGCUGCACCUUGAUCUGUUAUUAUUGAUGGUGAGCCCAUAACGAAAUAUUUUUUAAAAAUAUUUACAACGACGGCAUACAAACUAUUAAAUAAAGUGAAUAUUUCUUGGUGGUUAUCAUUUAUAUAGUAAGUUCCCCUAUACGUUAUUUAAGCCGCCAUAAUUUUUGAGUUUGACAUUAAUUUGCUUAUUACUCUAAAGCUACAAUAAUAGAUAGAAAUAGUAGGGUAUCUAAUCCUAGUUUAUUUGUUCUAUUUAGAUUAUUAUAAGUAUAUAGAAGAUUUGCAGAUUAUAUUUCACUAUGCAGCUACAUGUUAUCUUUAUUUAAGGUGUAGCUUAUUCAUAAUUACAAGCUGAUGAAGGUAUGACCGCGGUUGCUGGCACCAUAUUUACCUCACACGAAUCUACCGAAACUAGACUUAUAUUUAUAUAGUAUUUUAAUUUCUUCAACUGGGUAAACAAUAAUUUCCAUGAUUUGCAUGUGGGUAGUAUGUAAUUUAUUGGAUUUCUAUCAAAUUAAAGUAGAUAUAUAAUCUAAAAAGGAAGUAUCCCUUUUCCGG